This 623-nucleotide ribosomal RNA is filed under the name Mucor hiemalis f. hiemalis. RNAcentral's name for it is "LSU rRNA". It matches the Rfam family "Eukaryotic large subunit ribosomal RNA", at positions 66 to 607 of the family's 3401-position model. Lineage: Eukaryota; Fungi; Mucoromycota; Mucoromycetes; Mucorales; Mucoraceae. The record is from RNAcentral.
UAACAAUGAUUUCCCUAGUAACGGCGAGUGAAGAGGAAAGAGCUCAAAGUUGGAACCUGUUUGGCCUAGCUAAACCGGAUUGUAGACUGUAGAAGUGUUUUCCAGGCAAGCCGAGUAAAUAAGUCCUUUGGAACAGGGCAUCAUAGAGGGUGAGAAUCCCGUCUUUGGCUUGAGCAUUUGCCUUUUGUGAUACGCUUUCAAAGAGUCAGGUUGUUUGGGAAUGCAGCCUAAAUUGGGUGGUAAAUCUCACCUAAAGCUAAAUAUUGGCGAGAAACCGAUAGCGAACAAGUACCGUGAGGGAAAGAUGAAAAGAACUUUGAAAAGAGAGUUAAACAGUAUGUGAAAUUGUUAAAAGGGAACCGUUUGGAGCCAGACUGGCUUGUCUGUAAUCAAUCUAGGCUUCGGCCUGGAUGCACUUGCAGGCUAUGCCUGCCAACGACAAUUUGACUUGAGGGAAAAAACUAGGGGAAAUGUGGCCCACUUGUGGGUGUUAUAGUCCCUUAGAAAAUACCUUGGGUUGGAUUGAGGAACGCAGCGAAUGCUUAUUGGCGAGUUUUCCAGGAAGGUUUUCUGAGGUACUACGGUAUCAAGGUUGAUCUUUUUGGUUAUACUUCUAUUCGCUU